CGCGUUUGGUAGCGGAGGACAU
RNAcentral lists this ribosomal RNA (22 nucleotides) under Trichoderma atroviride. Its description in RNAcentral is "partial 18S ribosomal RNA". The record is from RNAcentral. Lineage: Eukaryota; Fungi; Ascomycota; Sordariomycetes; Hypocreales; Hypocreaceae.